This 468-nucleotide ribosomal RNA is filed under the name uncultured bacterium. RNAcentral's name for it is "partial 16S ribosomal RNA". It matches the Rfam family "Bacterial small subunit ribosomal RNA", at positions 28 to 507 of the family's 1533-position model. The record is from RNAcentral.
GACGAACGCUGGCGGCGUGCUUAACACAUGCAAGUCGAACGGAAAGGCGCUGCUUUUGUUGGUUUCUCGAUUGCCGAACGGGUGAGUAACACGUGAGUAACCUGCCCUUGACUUUGUGAUAACUUCAGGAAACUGGGGCUAAUACCGGAUAGGAUCUCCUGCUGCAUGUUGGUGGUUGGUAAGUGUCGGCUGUUGGGGAUGGACUCGCUGGUUAUCAGCUUGUUGGUGGGGUAGUGGCUUACCAAGGCUUUGACGGGUAGCCGGCCUGAGAGGGUGACCGGCGUCAUUGGGACUGCGAUACGGCCCAGACUCCUACGGGCGGCAGAAGUCGGGAAUCUUGCACAAUGGGCGGAAGCCUGAUGCAGCAACGCCGCGUGCGGGAUGACGGCCUUCGGGUUGUAAACAGAUUUCGCAUGUGCCGAAGAGUGCGUGACGGUAAUGGGUAAAGAAGCCCCGGCUAACUACGUG